AUAUACACGCCCCGCAGAGCAGCCACCGAACCGAAGUCAAACCUCCAAAACUUUUAGUGCAUUGUAGACCCAGCAGAAAGGACAGCGUGAGCCACCGAAGGUGCUGUCACAUCCAAACGGUAAAACCGAACAAAAGUGUGCGGUGAUGACCAACUGGCUGCAGUGCAGAUAUCACUCACAGAAACCCCUUUAAACAAGGCCCAAGAGGCCGCCAUUCCCCUGGUUGAAUGUGCCUUCACACCUUGGGGCAACGGGAGACCCCUGCUGCCGUAUGCUAAGGAGAUAGCCUCCACAAUCCAGUGGGAAAGCCGCUGCUUAGACAGCGCCUUGCCCUUGGCUGGAUUAGCAAAACAGACAAACAACUGGUCACAUAAACGCACACUCUGAGUGCGGUCUAUGUAAGUGCGUAGUGCACGCACAGGGCACAAGGAAUGCAACCUCCUCUGCUCCUCAGAUGCAAAUGGAGGGGGGCAGAAGCUCAGCAGUUCAAAACUCAUAGAGCUAUAGGCUGUGGGGAUAAUCUUAGGUAAAUACGCCGCGUUUGGACGCAAUGUAGCCUUAGAUCCAUCCGGAGUGAACUGGGUACAAGAGGGAUGCACAGACAAAGCAUGAAGGUCGCCCACUCGCUUUGCAGACGUCAAAGCAAGUAGCAGUGCAGUCUUGUAUGAAAGAAAUUUCAUGUCUGCUGACUCAAUAGGCUCAAAUGGGGGUCCACCAAGAGCCUCAAGCACCAACCCUAAAUCCCAUGAGGGAACACUGGGUUUAAGAACAGGUCUUAGCCUGCGGACUCCCUUUAGGAAGCGCAUAGCAAGAGGGUGAGCGCCUGGCGUCACACCAUCAAAGCCAACAUGGCAUGCAGAUAUAGCCGCCAAAUAGACCUUAAUUGUUGAGAAAGAGAGACCCUUAUCCAGCAGGUCCUGAAGGAAUGUUAAAACAUCCACAAUAGAACUCUGAAAUGGGAGUACAUUUCGGUCCUGACACCACUGCUCAAACGCCCGCCAUUUAUAGGCAUAUAGGCCCCUAGUAGAUGAUGCCCUUGCACUCUGGAUUGUUGCCACCACAUUUGGGGGCAGACCCUGAGCCAUUAAGUUGGACCUUUCAACAGGUAAGCAUGUAGUUUCCACAGUUCUGGGCGCGGGUGAAUCACCUCUCCUCCCGCCUGGGAGAGGAGGUCCCUGCAAAAAGGGAGCUGCCAGGGCCUCGCUACCAGCAGACUGAUUAUCUCUGCGUACCACGACUUCGCCGGCCAGCGAGGAGCCACCAGGAUCAGGGAGAGCCCCUGCUGGCGCACCCUCUCCAGAAUGGGCAGAAUCAUUUCCACUGGGGGAAAAGCAUAUAGCAGCGUGUUGGGCCAUGGGUGAGCUAGCGCAUCCAUCCCCAGGGGAGCAUUGCAGUCUGUUAUGGAAAAGAACAGGGGGCAAUGAGUAUUUGCUCUGGAGGCAAAAAGAUCUACUUCUGCCUUGCCGAAGCGGUCCCAUAUCUGAGCCACCACUAGUGGGUGCAAUCUCCACUCUCUCACAAGAGGACCCCCCCUGGAGAGAAGGUCUGGUCCAAGGUUUAAGUGACCCGGAAUAUGUGUGGCUCUGAGGGACAGAAAAUGAACACUGCACCAUAGCAACAGAUAGUGAGACAGUUUUAACAGGGGAAGAGAGCGUGUCCCUCCCUGCUUGUUUAUGUAAGAAACCACGGUUGUGUUGUCCGUCCUGAUCAGAACAUGAUGGCCUGUCAGAACGGGACGAAAGUGCUUCAGAGCUAAAAGGGUAGCUAGUAGCUCCAGGUAAUUGAUGUGGAGUUUGCAUUGUGCUGGCGUCCACACACCUCUCACUGCUGCGCCCUCGCACAGAGCCCCCCAACCCCUCAGGGAUGCGUCUGUGGACACCACCUUGCGAAAAGACACCCUCCCUAUCGGAGAUCCCUGUUGUAGAAAACCGGGUUCUCUCCACGGGAGAAGAGCCGACAUGCAAGACUGAGUUAUCGUCAGCCACCUCUGGAGGUGACGCUGCGCGCACAGCCGGUGAGACUGAGUCCAACGUUGAAACGCUCUCAUUUUUAACAGUCCGAGCGGCACUACAGCGAUCAUAGAUGCCAUCAUGCCUGUCAGCUGUAAAAUCGUCCGGAAACACAGUUUGCGUCCCAACUGAAAUUGUGCAAGGCAGCGGUGAAACGCAGCCACCCUGCGUUCUGACAGACGUGCUCGGCUUGAAACGGAGCAUAUUUCCAGCCCGAGAAAUGAUACCUGUUGACUCGGAGUCAGUGAACUUUUCUGUAAAUUUACUGAAAAGCCCAGUGUUUGGAUGUGCGAUAGGGUCAAUGACAGCUGAGCCGCUGCUCGCUCUCUGGAGCUCGCGAUUAGCACCCAAUCGUCCAGAUAGGCUAAGAUGCGAACACCUUUCUCCCGUAGCGGAGCUAAUGCCGCCUCGACACAUUUGGUGAAUGUUCGGGGGGCGAGUGAUAAGCCGAACGGCAGCACCAGGUAUUCGUAGGCUAUGCCCUCGAAUGCAAACCUUAGAAACUGCCUGUGGUCCGGAUGAAUUGCUACGUGAAAGUAAGCAUCUGUCAGAUCGAUAGUUGUAAACCAAUCUCCCGGUCUGAUCGCGCCCAGUAGCUGUCUGAGUGUUAGCAUCUUGAACCUGUAGGUUCGUAGGUAUUUGUUUAACACUCGCAAGUCUAGGAUAGGACGGAGCCCUCCUCCUUUUUUCGGAACAACGAAAUAGCGGCUGUACCAACCUUUGUUCGUUUCCGAAGCGGGAACAACUCGUAUCGCCCUCUUGUUCAACAAGUUGUUUAUUUCUUCCCUCAGCACUGCUGCUGCUUCCUCUGCUACAACUGUGUGUAUUACAGAGUGAAAGCGAGGCGGCCGGACCCUGAACUGUAAGCGGUAGCCGA
RNAcentral lists this long non-coding RNA (2886 nucleotides) under Xyrichtys novacula (pearly razorfish). The record is from RNAcentral. Lineage: Eukaryota; Metazoa; Chordata; Actinopteri; Labriformes; Labridae.